Molecule: ribosomal RNA, 534 nt
Filed under: uncultured bacterium
Lineage: Bacteria
Description: bacterial SSU rRNA
Rfam family: Bacterial small subunit ribosomal RNA
Source: RNAcentral
UUGGCCUUGACAUACUAAGAACUUUCCAGAGAUGGAUUGGUGCCUUCGGGAACUUAGAUACAGGUGCUGCAUGGCUGUCGUCAGCUCGUGUCGUGAGAUGUUGGGUUAAGUCCGCAACGAGCGCAACCCUUUUCCUUAUUUGCCAGCGGGUAAUGCCGGGAACUUUAAGGAUACUGCCAGUGACAAACUGGAGGAAGGCGGGGACGACGUCAAGUCAUCAUGGCCCUUACGGCCAGGGCUACACACGUGCUACAAUGGUCGGUACAAGGGGUUGCUACCUCGCGAGAGGAUGCUAAUCUCAAAAAGCCGAUCGUAGUCCGGAUCGCAGUCUGCAACUCGACUGCGUGAAGUCGGAAUCGCUAGUAAUCGCGGAUCAGAAUGCCGCGGUGAAUACGUUCCCGGGCCUUGUACACACCGCCCGUCACACCAUGGGAGUUUGUUGCACCAGAAGUAGGUAGUCUAACCGCAAGGAGGACGCUUACCACGGUGUGGCCGAUGACUGGGGUGAAGUCGUAACAAGGUAGGCGUAGAUGA